UACGGAGGGGACUAGCGUUGUUCGGAAUUACUGGGCGUAAAGCGCACGUAGGCGGAUUUUUAAGUCAGGGGUGAAAUCCCGAGGCUCAAACUCGGAAUUGCCUUUGAUACUGCAGAUCUCGAGUCAGGAAGAGGUGAGUGGAACUCCUAGUGUAGAGGUGAAAUUCGUAGAUAUUAGGAAGAACACCAGUGGCGAAGGCGGCUCACUGGCCCGGUACUGACGCUGAGGUGCGAAAGCGUUGGGAGCAAACAGG
This 253-nucleotide ribosomal RNA is filed under the name uncultured bacterium. RNAcentral describes it as "partial 16S ribosomal RNA". It matches the Rfam family "Bacterial small subunit ribosomal RNA", at positions 524 to 776 of the family's 1533-position model. The record is from RNAcentral.